UAAAUUUUUUUUAUUAUCCUAUAAUUUAUAUUUGGUGGUGGCACAGAAUCGGAGGCCCCGACUGUUUACUAAAAACACAAUUCAGAGCAAUGAUUAAGAUCAUAGUAUUCUGAAUGAAAUUUGCUCAAUGCCAUUAAUAUAAGAGAGGUAAUGGGAAACUGUUACUAAUCGAAAGUCUGGUCAAUAGCGGUCUUAACUAUGAGGAUCCAAAGGUAGCAUAAUCAAUUGGCCAUUAAAUGUGGUCUGGUAUCAAUAGUGUAACGAUGGUCUCACUGUCUCUACAACUUGCUCAGUGAAAUUGAAUUACCCGUGCAGAUGCGGGUUGCCUCCAGGUGGACGGGAAGACCCUAUGCAGCUUCUACU
RNAcentral lists this ribosomal RNA (363 nucleotides) under Panus conchatus. Its description in RNAcentral is "LSU rRNA". It matches the Rfam family "Bacterial large subunit ribosomal RNA", at positions 1731 to 2105 of the family's 2925-position model. Lineage: Eukaryota; Fungi; Basidiomycota; Agaricomycetes; Polyporales; Panaceae. The record is from RNAcentral.